GACUUCCGAGGGGCGGCGCGAACGGCAAUGGCGGUCCUCUUCUGAACGGGAGAGGAGGCUCCGCAGACAACGGGUCGUCCGCUACGGCGAAGCGGAGACCCACUCCGGAAAACCCCAGGCAGCAAGAGCUUGGGGUCUUGAGGCUCGGUGGGCGCCUUAAGUGACCCUCCAAACGUGAAAGGAACCUCGUAAGGGGCUCCGGAGCGUGGAGGGGGGUUGCGGCGCUGAGAGCUGCUUCACAGUCUGCGGAGUGAAGCCGCGCUGCUGCUGCCGGUGAGCGCUGAUCCUAUUUCCUGUUAAAUUACGGAUUCGGACGAAAAGCAACUUACUCGUGAGUAAAGACUGAAUCACUUGAAAUUAGAGACUUUAAAUGAAAAACCUUAAAUUGGCUUGAACUUGGCUGAAAGCGGAGAGACGUGGAAACAGGAAGUCCGUCUUCCGCAGCCAUUGAACUUGAAAAAAGCAACUAAGUUGGAGGAGUGGAGGCUGAAAGGAAGAGAUUUUAAACUUUACAGAUCUAAGCAUCUACUGAACUUGCAAUUUAAAGUAAAGACUUUAAGCUAAAGACUUGGAAUUUUAACUUGCACUUGACUUUCCCCUUUUAUUGGAUUACAAAUUAGAAGGUGAAACCCAGAGUCAGGAGCUGCCUGAGCAUUGAGAAAUUGAGCUGUCAGUAUUGCAGAUUUGGAUACUGUAUAUUGGAACUUGCAACAAUCUGAGGGUAUUGAGACUUUUUAAAUUUGAAACAUUCUUUUUGGAGAUAAAUAAGCACUGUCUGUAACAAAGUGACUACUUAUAAACUCUGCUAAAUAUUUAUAUUUGAAGGUUCUUGGACAUUAAAUUAGACUCUGAAAGACAUUUUAAGCUCCCUCUAGAGGAUUGGAUUAAAACAGUGACUUUACAUUUACAUUUACUUUCGAUUCCCUUGUUGUUUGCUUGCUCUGGGCCUUUCUAUUCCCAUGGGAAAAACUCAGUGUGACCUUGACUGAUAGACAACGUUGGAAUGAGUGGCACAAGGAAAAGAGGGAGAGUUAGACAAACAACUUUAACAACUCUAACCUCAGCCUCGCAGACACGUAGAUCAUCUGUACCUACUUUGCCCUCAGAAGUAGAACUUGAAGAAGUUGCCUUGCCACAGGCAAAAGAGGGAGAGGGUGAAGCAGAGCAGUUACAAUUGGAAGAUAUGGCCUCAGGAGUAUCUGUUUCUGUUCUAGACAAAAUCUUUGAAAAAUUGGAAGCUUUGGACAAGAAAGUAGAUGCGCAAUCAGCAAAGAUUGACAAAAAUACAGAAUGUCUAAAUAAAUUAACCAUACAAGUUGUACAGAAUACACAAGCAAUUGGACAGUUAACGGAGGCCUCAGCAGAAAAUCGGAAAUUGGCUGAGGAUACUAGACAAAAAUUGGAAAAUUUAGAGCAAGAGGUAAGACCACUCACCAAACAAGUUGGGGAACAUCAGACUUAUCUUUCCAUGAUAGAACUGCGAAAUCGUGAGAAUAAUUUGAGGAUUAGAUCAUUACAAGAGGCAGAAGAAGGAAAUUUAACUGAGUUUUUGACCAAAGAAUUUUCCAAGUUCUGGAAUUUGGAAGAAAAGGAUUUUAAAAUUGUGUCGGCUUUCAGACUUGGAAGAUUCACAAAGAAGGAGAGGCCCAGAGACUGUUUGAUUACAUUGAGAUCAAAGGAGGAAAGGGAUAAGAUUUUGGGCCUACAUUACGGAAAGUCACUGGAGGUUUUGGACAGAAGAAUUGAAAUUUAUAAAGAUAUUCCAAGACAACUGCUGGAUCUUAGAGCCGCCUAUUCUGAACUUGCUAAACUACUAAGGAGCAACGCAAUUCCAUUCAGGUGGGAAUUUCCCAAGGAAUAUCUUUUACCUUUAAAGGGAGAAAGGUCAAAGUUAGAACAUUGGAAGAGAGAGACAAAUUUUUGGCUACAUACGGAGAGGACCUUCAAAAAGGAAUUGAAUUACCUUCUGGGCCUGGGGCAAAGCCAGCAUUAACACCAGCACCUGGGGAACCUGAAGAUCCAGAGAAGACACCACCCCUGGAGAAAUAACCAGAUAGAUCCAGGAUGUCUCUGCAAUUGCUGAGUUGGAACAUUAAUGGUUGUAACAUUCCGGAAAAAAGGAAGAAAAUAUUUCAUAUAUUAAAAAAGAACAAUUGGACAUUAUCUGUUUACAAGAAACACAUGUGACGAGGCUCCACAGAAAAGUGUUAAUAAAUAAAAGAUUGGGCCAGGAAUUUGUUUCGUCGGACAAAGUUAAGAAGAGAGGCGUGGUGAUAUAUGCAAAAGAGAGCCUGUCACCUAAAUUCUUAUUUAAAGAUGAACAUGGAAGAAUUUUGGCCAUUGAGAUACAAUAUCAAGGAGAGAAACUGUUGAUAUUAGGAAUCUAUGCACCUAAUGAAGGGAAAUCGGAAUUUUACAAGAAGCUGCAGGGGACAAUGCUGGAAUAUCUGGAUUACAACAACAUCAUAAUGAUGGGAGACAUGAACGGGGUCGUGUCAACUAACAUGGACAAGUCACAAAGUCAAAAUGUUACAAAAGACGGCAGACUACCUAAAACUUUUUUUGAAAUGACUGACAAUAUGGAUUUGAUUGACAUUUGGAGGACAAAGAACCCACUAGGUAGAGAAGGAACAUUCUUUUCUGAAGCCCAACUGACCUGGACAAGAAUCGACCAAAUAUGGAUUUCCAGAGGCCUGGCACCUAAGGUCAGAAAAGUGGAAAUCUGCCCAAAGACCUGCUCUGACCAUAAUGCAGUAAAGAUGGAUAUGACACUACUACCAACUGGAUCCUUUAGAUGGAAGAUGAAUGACAAUUUGUUUAGAGAUCAGGAAAUUACCAAGAAGGCCCAAAAAGUUUUGAAGGACUAUUUUGAGAUAAACAUGAACAAUUCGGUGGAAAAAGAAUCGUCUGGGACGCAAGCAAAGCUGUAAUGAGGGGAUUCUUGAUACAACAGAAUGUAGUAAAGAAAAGAACACAAAAUGAGAAAAAAGAUAAGAUCUUGGAC
Molecule: non-coding RNA, 3004 nt
Organism: Podarcis lilfordi (Lilford's wall lizard)
Lineage: Eukaryota; Metazoa; Chordata; Lepidosauria; Squamata; Lacertidae
Source: the annotation of a GenBank genome assembly